This 208-nucleotide ribosomal RNA is filed under the name uncultured bacterium. Its description in RNAcentral is "partial 16S ribosomal RNA". It matches the Rfam family "Bacterial small subunit ribosomal RNA", at positions 568 to 775 of the family's 1533-position model. The record is from RNAcentral.
CUCGUAGGCGGCCAACUAAGUCAGACGUGAAAUCCCCAGGCUCAACCUGGGAACUGCGUCUGAUACUGGAUGGCUUGAAUUCGGGAGAGGGAUGCAGAAUUCCAGGUGUAGCGGUGAAAUGCGUAGAUAUCUGGAGGAAUACCGGUGGCGAAGGCGGCAUCCUGGACCGACAUUGACGCUGAUGAGCGAAAGCUAGGGGAGCAAACGG